RNAcentral lists this small nuclear RNA (18 nucleotides) under Arabidopsis thaliana (thale cress). RNAcentral's name for it is "snRNA_18142". The record is from RNAcentral. Lineage: Eukaryota; Viridiplantae; Streptophyta; Magnoliopsida; Brassicales; Brassicaceae.
UGGGAUGCAACACGAGGA